GGCCGCGGGAUUGGAGGAAAGCAGGGGAUCGUAAGACCUUGCGCUUUUGGAGUGGCCGAUGCCUGAUUAGCUAGUUGGUGGGGUAAGAGCCUACCAAGGCGACGAUCAGUAGUUGGUCUGAGAGGACGACCAGCCACACUGGGACUGAGACACGGCCCAGACUCCUACGGGAGGCAGCAGUGGGGAAUUUUGGACAAUGGGCGGAAGCCUGAUCCAGCAAUGCCGCGUGAGUGAAGAAGGCCUUCGGGUUGUAAAGCUCUUUCAGUCGAGAAGAAAAGGUUGCGACUAAUAAUCGCAACUUAUGACGGUAUCGACAGAAGAAGCACCGGCUAACUACGUGCCAGCAGCCGCGGUAAUACGUAGGGUGCGAGCGUUAAUCGGAAUUACUGGGCGUAAAGGGUGCGCAGGCGGCUCUGUAAGUCAGAUGUGA
This 430-nucleotide ribosomal RNA is filed under the name uncultured ammonia-oxidizing beta proteobacterium. RNAcentral describes it as "bacterial SSU rRNA". It matches the Rfam family "Bacterial small subunit ribosomal RNA", at positions 187 to 597 of the family's 1533-position model. Lineage: Bacteria; Pseudomonadati; Pseudomonadota; Betaproteobacteria. The record is from RNAcentral.